GGUUUCUCCCUCCCACACUGCUAUCGAUUUCCUGUUUCCCAUCAUUCCUCCAAAAAGCUCCUUAAACGCUUCGUCCUGCCCAGUGAAAACACGGACGCAAAGGAUGGAAGUGCCCAGCAGGAAAUGCUGGGGCCCGCCUGGCUCAGCAGCUCACAGUGAGUUGGGGGAGACGGAAAUGGAAGUGUAACUCGUGUUCUGGAGGCUGGCAAGUCCGAGGUCAAGGUUCUGGCAGAUUUAAUUCCUGGUGAGAGCUGUCUUCCUGGCCUGCAGGUGAGCAUCUCCCUGCUGGGUCCUCAGAGGGCAGAGAGAGAAAGAAUCCUGGAUCUUAGAAGCCACAGAGGUUAAUGAGAGUUCGUUCCAUCAAGAUGAAACAAAGCAGAGGACAAGCCGUGUAAAUAUGUCUUAGGUACUUUCCUAGAAAAAUAUUUCGUUUUCCGGUUCCACUGGAAAAAUAAGCA
Molecule: long non-coding RNA, 458 nt
Organism: Phacochoerus africanus (Common warthog)
Lineage: Eukaryota; Metazoa; Chordata; Mammalia; Artiodactyla; Suidae
Exons: 4
Source: RefSeq, a predicted model, not a curated record